ACUGCAACUGCAAGAAAUGAAAAAAGUCAAGUAAAAAAACUGUGUCACAGGAGAGUUGAACAGUCUCCCAGGUUCUGGUCCUGUGAUUAACACAUUUCUCCACAACUAUUCCCUAGCUAGAUUUGGAAUUUGGACUUAUUUGUACUACAUAUAAAGCGUUUUUAAUAGUACUCUGUAUGUGACAUGACAAGCAUGGACUGCCUGACCGAUACUAGUAGAUGAAUGCUUCACAGAGUGUGUCUUGGCAAGAAAAGCCAAGUGUGGUGUGUCUAUUAGCUAGCUAGCUAGCUGACCUGCUAGCUAUGCACUGCUAGCUAAAAAGACCAUGCCAGGGAUUUUGUCUAUUUGCGUUCAUCCUUCACCGUCAACCCACUUACUUUUCACAUUUAAUCUAUUAGAGGGAGCACGUAGCACUUCACUCAAUCUACAGAUUGAAUGUGUUAUUGUGUGUGGACAUUUAGUGAAAGAAGUCCUUUGCUUCAGUAAUAGAGGCUAUAAUGCUGAAAAAUCACGUAAUGGUAAACAUGUUACUAAAAUAAAUGUUAGAGCAAUUCAGUGCUAAAUGUAAAAGUACUUAUAGUAAUGAGUGGAUUUUAGUUUCACUGGAAGCUGAAAACCUUGUAUCCCUAGUUUUGGAUAUAUACGACACAUACGUUUUUUUACUUAAAAUUUAAAAAAUGUCCAAUUUUUACCUGUUAACACAUACUAUUUUGUCACUCCCUGGUAUUCUUAUCUCCAAUGUGAGGAUUUACCUGGUCAGAUCAGUUGAAGCAGUACAUGCUCCUUAUAGGUUGAGAACAUUCUCCAACAACUGAGUCAAACCCAAAAUCAUUAUAAAACUGUACUUGAGUGAUGACUGAUAUAAGAAAUAGCUCACAUUCGGAACCAUGGAACCACGUACACAGAUAUCUCAAUUGUAGAACAUGACAGCAUAAUGAUAUUCCAGAACCCAUGUAAAACAUGAAGCUUGGCUGUGUACCAGUCUCUUAUUUACUUUUUACAAGUGGACGAGAAGAAGAGUUUGAACUUCAAACUAAAUCGGCCUCUCGACGAAUCCAACUGAGAUCUUAAGUAAUAUAGGUAAGCUGCUGUUUGUUGCUCCCUAAUGUAGAGUGUGUGAGAUGUCUAAGGUGAAGCAUUGUUAAUGCUCAGUUUGACUGCUGUUUAUACAUGUGUGUAAUGUAAUUUACACUGAAUCUAUAUGUGUGUGUCAAAUACAAAUGUAGCUUACAUUUAUAUACUUGAACAUGAAGUCCCAGUAGCUGGUGGGGAUGCCCUCAGUAUGGAUCAGAUCUCAGACGCACAGCUCCACACUGAAUUGUUUAACGUGAGAUGAUCCUAACCCUAAGCUCAGUGACAGCAGGAAGGUGGAUUUCAACAGGUUAAGAAACAGUUCACAAUGGAAUUGGAUAGUUUAUCAUCCAGUUCAUCUGACUAUAAGCUGGAGUCAUUUCUGGGCCAAGGUGGCUUUGGAGCUGUGAUCAAAUGCAUCAAAAAGGAGACCAACGAGACUAUUGCUGUAAAGGUCUCUCACUACAGCUGCAGCUUCAGAAAGGAAUUGAAUCUACUGAAUUUCCUCAUGUAGAAGAACCUGGACAACUACAACAUUGUUGUAGAUGCUGGAUGUGACUGAGGGAAUACAUGUUCAUCGACAGGGACUUUACCCCUCUGGAUUUAAAGGAAGUCAGGAGUGUAGUCCAACAACACUGCCGUUAGCUAGUUAGCUUGUGCAGCUAACGUUAGCUGUCUUAGGUCAGUCUGCAUUCAGUCCUGUUCUUGCUGUGCUGUUCUCUGUCCACUAUAGCUGCUUGACUAGGGGGACAUAACAACACACAGCGCUUUUGGCUGCCGUGACAAGUCCCUCCCUAGCUGCCUGUCACAGGAAAUACAUAAAAAAGCGGAAACAAAUAGACUCUGACUACCAUUUCAUCUGAACUUUAAUUUUAGCGACGACAGCUGAGGCAUUUGGGCUUUCGAUUUUCAGAUGGCACAUAUCCCGGAAGGAAGAAGAGGAAGGAGAAGAAGAAUUGCUUCAAUCACUUCUUCUGCUGGAUGAAGAGGACAGUCUGCAGCUGCAUCAGUGCCAACAAUGACAAGGGCUAAAUCGCCCUGUAUAGGUUUUCUAGCACAACACAGGAAAUACAGAGUAUGCACUUGUUGUCCCCUGGUCACCGGGUGGAGGUCAGGUGCAGAGAAAUGGCUGUUGUGCUGUAAAACUUUCAUAGUUAUUUAGGGCAGCAUGGUGGCUCCGUGUAUACCUGUCUUUUAAUGCUAGGAAUUAUUCUCAUGUAGAUAAAGGAUUUCAGUGUAACAACGGUAAUGUUUUACACAUUUUUCAUUUUCUUAUCCCGUCCUAAGAAAUUUUCUGGAAAGAGCUUUUUGAUACUAAGUACAGGUAACACACAGACAGUGUCAUAUUGGUACUCUUCCAAUCAAAUUAAAAAUGUAUUUUCUUAUUUUAUGUGAUAUGACAUACAGAUCUGCAUAAUAAAAUAAAAAUAAAAUGA
Long non-coding RNA from Dicentrarchus labrax (European seabass), 2507 nucleotides. RefSeq lists it as uncharacterized. The transcript is spliced from 2 exons. NCBI's taxonomy places the organism in Eukaryota, Metazoa, Chordata, Actinopteri, Moronidae. The record is from RefSeq and is a predicted model, not a curated record.